ACCGCGGUUAUACAAAUAAUACAAGUAAAAUUUAUUAGUAAUAGUUAAUUUGUUUUAAUAAAAUUUAAUUUAAAUUUUUUAAGUGAAAUUUUAAAUUUAAUUAAUUUUAUAUUUAUUUUAAAUGAAGCUAGAAAUUUUUAAUUAUAAACUAGGAUUAGAUACCCUAUUAUUUAAAGAGUAAUUGUUAAUACUUGAGUAGUAAUAGUUAUGAUCUUCAAACUUAAAGAAUUUGGCGGUGUUUUAGUCUAUUUAGAGGAAUCUGUUCUGUAAUCGAUAAUCCACGUUGGACCUUACUAAAAUUUGUAUUUAAUUUGUAUAUCGCCGUUAUCAGAAUAUCUUAAAAGAGAAAUAAUUUUCUUAAUUUAUAAAUAUAAUUGAUGUCAGGUCAAGGUGCAGUUUAUGUUUUAGUAGAAAUGGAUUACAAUAAAUUUAUUUAUACAGUAAAUUAUUUGAAAUAGUAAUUUUAAGGUGGAUUUAAAAGUAAAAUAAUAGAUAUUAUUUAUUUGAUUAUAGCUCUAAAACAUGCACAC
Molecule: ribosomal RNA, 530 nt
Filed under: Simulium trangense
Lineage: Eukaryota; Metazoa; Arthropoda; Insecta; Diptera; Simuliidae
Description: partial 12S ribosomal RNA
Source: RNAcentral